GGAUGAAGAACGUAGUGAAAUGCGAUACGUAAUGUGAAUUGCAGAAUUCAGUGAAUCAUCGAGUCUUUGAACGCACAUUGCGCCCCCUGGUAUUCCGGGGGGCAUGCCUGUCCGAGCGUCAUUGCUGCCCUCAAGCACGGCUUGUGUGUUGGGCCCCGUCCUCCGAUCCCGGGGGACGGGCCCGAAAGGCAGCGGCGGCACCGCGUCCGGUCCUCGAGCGUAUGGGGCUUUGUCACCCGCUCUGUAGGCCCGGCCGGCGCUUGCCGAUCAACCCAAAUUUUUAUCCAGGUUGACCUCGGAUCAGGUAGGGAUACCCGCUGAACUUAAGCAUAUCAAUAAGCGGAGGA
RNAcentral lists this unclassified non-coding RNA (347 nucleotides) under soil metagenome. Its description in RNAcentral is "partial contains 5.8S ribosomal RNA, internal transcribed spacer 2, and large subunit ribosomal RNA". The stretch from base 2 to 121 matches the Rfam family "5.8S ribosomal RNA", at positions 35 to 154 of the family's 154-position model. The record is from RNAcentral.